GUACGCAUCCGAAUCGGAAUCCGCAAUCAGCUUCAGCUGCGAACGUAAAGUGAAGUGGCUGGCAUUCCGGCUGCCUUCAGUGGCCUCAGUUGUUGUGCCGCCGUGAAGGAGGACGGUAGCCGUGCGCGCAUACGGAGCACAUUGGUGCCGCUGGCAUUUAGUUAGAUCCAAGUGAUAGUUUUCCCCAGAUCUGCCCGACUUCCCAGACUCACCCGUUUACUCAAAUUCAAUAGUUUCGAAAAAUCGCUUUCGAGUGCUCUUUUUUUUUGUCUGUGCUUUCUGCUUCUCUCGCCGCCUGCUGAGAGAUCUGAGCGAUCUGAGUGCUGCGUCCAUGGCUGGCGUUUGGAAUUGUGAAGGUCAGCGCGUCGUCGCGAUCGGAAUCGGAAUUGGAAUCGCAUUCGGACUCCCAUUUCAGUGUGUGUCGUAAUCCGGCCAAGAGAUCGUGUUUGGCAGCCGUUAAGAAAAAGAUACGAAAUCUGUUUGCCCAAGACUUGGUGAUACGGGAUAUCUACGCAACCGGUCAGUCAUGCACUGCCCAUGCCUCCACUAGCUGCAGUGCAGCAGCGCCGGAAUGUUGGCCGCUGGCGCCAGUGAGACCACUGACUUUGGGCCACACUCGCGACAGCAAUCGGCGGGCACGUCCACGUCCAAGCGAACCCACAAAGCCAGCAGCCACCGUCCUGGUCCAGGUCCUGCUCCUUGUCCUGGUCCUGGUCCUGGCCCAAUGACCACUGGUGGCAACAGCGCAGCCAGCGGUAACGGAAACAGCAGCAGUGGCGCUCUAAGCGCCCUUCCCUCGACGAAGGCAGGCGUUAUGUCCGCCACCACGGUGACAGCGACGACGGGGAAGGCGACGGUCAGUCAUGGACAUGGUCAUGGGCAUGGUCAUGGUCACGGCCACACGAGAGGCGGCCGAAGUGCGGCAGCUGGACGCUCCAACGUGGACGGAUUCGUUGGCGGCAUCGAGACGUAUUUGGGCCUCAUCGGUUGGCGGAAAAAGUGCCUGUAUACGCUGCUGCUGCUUCUGAUGCUGCUCAUCAUCACUAACCUGGUGCUCACCCUCUGGAUACUCAAGGUGAUGGAGUUCUCAACGGAGGGCAUGGGGCAGCUGAAAAUCGUACCCGGUGGCAUACAGCUGUCCGGACAAGCGAUAAUUAUGGACAUGCUGCGCGCAUCCACAAUACGUUCGCGGCACGGCCAACCCAUCUCCAUAGAGUCAUCACGUAACUUUUCAAUCAAUACACGUGAUCCGAAUGGCAUGAUUGAGAAUCAUUUAUUCCUGGGACACGACAAGUUCGAGUGCCUGUCGUCGGGAUUCCGCAUAAACGACACCAACGGACGCAGCCUGUUCUCCGUGAACCGCGAUGAAGUCACCAUCGGAGCACAUGCCCUGCGGAUCGACGGCGAAGGUGGCGCCGUCUUCCGGGAGUCCGUGCAGACGCCCCACGUGCGCGCCGAGCCCGGCCGGGAGCUGAGACUCGAAUCGCCAACACGCCAAUUGGAGAUGACGGCGGCCAAGGACAUCAAUUUGCAGUCACGCGCAGGAGGCAUAGAAGUCGUGGCCCUGGAAGACGUCAAGUUCCGAGCCCUCGAUGGGAGCCUGCGCCUGGAGUCCUCCAAGAUACUCAUGCCCAACCUGCGGACGGCACAGCCGCCCAUUCUGGGCACUGCCCAAAGCAGGGAUCACAUGCAUCGCGUCUUCCAGCUCUGCGCCUGCUCCAAUGGAAAGCUCUUCCUGGCGGCACCCCACUCCAUAUGUGCCGGCGAUGAUUCCACUGUCUGCAGAUGAUUGCACGACUCGGCGCGCUGGCAGUCCACACCCACAUCCGCAUCCGCAUCGUCCACAUCCAAUAGAUCCCGGUUAAGGUCCAGCUCCGAAACGGACACGGAUGCGGAUACGGACACUGAUUAGGGAGCUGGGUCUCCGGAGUUUUGACAGACCGGUAUGCAAGUAUGCAAGUAUGCAAGUAUGCGAUUCAUGGCGGAACGCGGAGCAGAUCACAGCCAUAGCCACACCCAUACGCACACGUUCAUGUUGACUUACUCAUAUGCUAACUGGAAGAUAGGAUGGUGUAUACCCAACUAGUGCAAAUCACGUACACCCAUACACACAUACAUACGAGUAUAUGAUUACCCCACACACUGUCGAGGGAAUUGUACCCAAACUCGAAGGACAAAAUCAAGAGCUUCUUAGACACUUGGAUGUUGUGUACCAGUAUAACCGCAAUUCGGCAAUUCGGCUAUACAUAUAGGCAUAGUACCAUUAGACCUAUAAAAUAUCACCAGUAAUGGAGUAAUUAAAUAGACAGAUAUGAUGUCAUAGUCAAGCGUAGGAUGCCGUCACAGUCGAAUCCCACAUCAGUAUUGGCGUUAAGUCUAAACCCCUCAGAUUGAAUCAGAUUGAAUGAAACUCGGUUAAAGUUUAGUUUUAGCAGAAAUCACACCACACACACACACAGCUCGCCUUAAAAACAAAGAAUGUAUUUCUACUAGUUUUCGAUUAUGAAUAUACGCUAAUGUUUACCAUGAACUCAAACGAUUAUUCUUUAUAAGUAACUGAGUAUCAUCUGAUCCGUUUCCACAAAGCAGUCCAGAGAUAUUGUACAUAAGACUGUCGAACUCAAAGAACUGCAAAACUGCAGCAUAGCAGCAUCCAUCACGAAUACAGAUACAAAUACAAACUGAAUAGGACCUACUCAUAACCGUAUUCAUGUAGAUAUUCUCGCGGACACUAAUGAAAUUUAGAAAAUGUUUAUACGAUAACUACAUACUACGAUCAGAAUAUCCAAAACCCGAAGCAAACACAAUACGAAGACAAUGAAUAAAUAUCAUCCAAUAAGUCGCAAGAGCUAUUUAUACCUAUACCUAAAUAUACCUAUACCUAGAUACAGAUACAGAUAUUAACUGAGAUUCGAGUAUGAGUAUGAGUAUCAAUAUGAAUACAGAAAUAAAUAUGGGUAACUGAGUUUCGAUAUGGCUAUGGAUAUAAAUAUGAAUAUAAAUAUGAAUAUAAAUAUGAUAAAUAUGAUUAUAAAUAUGAAUAUAAAUAGAGUUGAAUAUGAAAUUGCCGUUGAAUUUGUCAAGUGCGGGAGCACUGAUAUAUAGAUAUAUAUAAAUAAAUGAAUGUAUAUGUAUAUGUAUCAGUAUGUAUGUACACCCAAUGCAAAUGCUUUUAAAUGGACAUUAAGUAUAAUUUGUUGUUGGUUUUUUUUUUAGCACGAUUAGGAAACAUAAAAACGUAAUAUAGGGAAAAUACAGAAUCAUAUAUCUACAUACUACAUAUAUUGUAAUACAGCAAAUACAGCAUACUUACAACAAAUACAUGCGUCAAGAA
Molecule: unclassified non-coding RNA, 3334 nt
Filed under: Drosophila yakuba
Lineage: Eukaryota; Metazoa; Arthropoda; Insecta; Diptera; Drosophilidae
Description: GE16513
Source: RNAcentral